RNAcentral lists this ribosomal RNA (1092 nucleotides) under bacterium. RNAcentral's name for it is "bacterial SSU rRNA". It matches the Rfam family "Bacterial small subunit ribosomal RNA", at positions 41 to 1134 of the family's 1533-position model. The record is from RNAcentral.
GAUGGGGAGGCUAUAAUGCAGUCGAACGAGAUUAAGGGGCUUGCUCCUUAUGAAAGUGGCGCACGGGUGCGUAACGCGUAUGCAACCUACCUCAAUCAGGGGGAUAGCCCGAAGAAAUUCGGAUUAACACCGCAUAAAAACACAGGAUAGCAUUAUCUAAUGUUCAAAUAUUUAUAGGAUUGAGAUGGGCAUGCGUGUCAUUAGCUAGUUGGCGGGGUAACGGCCCACCAAGGCGACGAUGACUAGGGGAUCUGAGAGGAUGACCCCCCACACUGGUACUGAGACACGGACCAGACUCCUACGGGAGGCAGCAGUAAGGAAUAUUGGUCAAUGGAGGCAACUCUGAACCAGCCAUGCCGCGUGCAGGAAGACAGCCCUCUGGGUCGUAAACUGCUUUUAUUCGGGAAUAAACCUAUUUACGUGUAGAUAGCUGAAUGUACCGAAGGAAUAAGGAUCGGCUAACUCCGUGCCAGCAGCCGCGGUAAUACGGAGGAUCCAAGCGUUAUCCGGAUUUAUUGGGUUUAAAGGGUGCGUAGGCGGCUUAUUAAGUCAGGGGUGAAAGACGGUGGCUCAACCAUCGCAGUGCCUUUGAUACUGAUGAGCUUGAAUGAACUAGAGGUAGGCGGAAUGUGACAAGUAGCGGUGAAAUGCAUAGAUAUGUCACAGAACACCGAUUGCGAAGGCAGCUUACUAUGGUUUUAUUGACGCUGAGGCACGAAAGCGUGGGGAUCAAACAGGAUUAGAUACCCUGGUAGUCCACGCCCUAAACGAUGAAUACUCGCUGUUAGCGAUAUACAGUUAGCGGCUAAGCGAAAGCGUUAAGUAUUCCACCUGGGGAGUACGCCCGCAAGGAUGAAACUCAAAGGAAUUGACGGGGGCCCGCACAAGCGGAGGAGCAUGUGGUUUAAUUCGAUGAUACGCGAGGAACCUUACCCGGGCUUGAAAGUUAGUGAAUGAUCUAGAGAUAGAUCAGUGAGCAAUCACACGAAACUAGGUGCUGCAUGGCUGUCGUCAGCUCGUGCCGUGAGGUGUUGGGUUAAGUCCCGCAACGAGCGCAACCCCUUAUGUUUAGUUGCCAGCACGUAAAGUUGG